AUAAUCUUCCUAAUAAUGUAUAAACCAAUUAUUUAUUUGUGACCAUGGGCCUUUUGUUUUGAAUUUGAGCAACUCCUGGAGUAUUUCCACUUAGUUUCAGCUAUUGAAGAUUUACAGAAAGUGCAACUCAUUCGUGGUAAUUGACUUCGCCAUGUAGAAAGCUCACGCGGGGGUCAAUUUUACGUUGUUUGCGGGUUAGGAGAUUUGAAAAGCACCUCACAUGGCCCCUAAAAUUAUUUACAUGAAAUGCUCCAUCCCAUGAAUUUAAAGGUCCCAUUGUCUCACUGUUUGGUUUUGAGUUUUGAUUGUACAGAAUAACGCGUUACAUGAACUUUGCUACAGCUCUUCUUGUUUUCUGACCAGAAGCACACCGCACUAAAGCCAUGGUGUUGUAGGGCACACCCACCAACAAACAUGUAUGUGGUCUAUAAGGGACUCACUUUGUACAAGUAAUUGACGAUUGAUAUUAUUGAUUUUAAAUAUAUUUUUUAAAUUAGUUGUUGCCG
RNAcentral lists this long non-coding RNA (506 nucleotides) under Glycine max (soybean). RNAcentral describes it as "long non-coding RNA (GMAX_LNC002707)". Lineage: Eukaryota; Viridiplantae; Streptophyta; Magnoliopsida; Fabales; Fabaceae. The record is from RNAcentral.